Long non-coding RNA from Acipenser ruthenus (sterlet), 1233 nucleotides. RefSeq lists it as uncharacterized. NCBI's taxonomy places the organism in Eukaryota, Metazoa, Chordata, Actinopteri, Acipenseriformes, Acipenseridae. The record is from RefSeq and is a predicted model, not a curated record. The transcript has 3 exons.
GAAGGCGGGUCUGUAUUUUUGGCGUCUGGAGUAUUUCGCUGAGAAGGCUGUAAGUAUUUUGCAUGGAAUUCAGUCCAAUUCAACACUAACCUAGCACGGCAGGGCUGUUUGGGUUGCUGGCAGCAGGCUGGCUGGAUGUCUGGUAUCAGAGCGCUCCUGGGACUCGGGGUGUUAGUGACGAGUCGUUGUGCACGAGGAGGCGGGGCUUAUACCAGGAGUGGGGCGUGUCCUGCAUCCAGUGGGUGGGGCCAGUUGAACUGGGCGUGUCCUAAAGCUGGUAUCUCCACAAUGGAAACGACAAAACAACUGAAAUACCUCAGUCAGGAGGAAGCACAGCACAUUGAUGAGGAGCUCUUCACUGAGUACCGCUUCAGUGUGGAUCAGCUGAUGGAGCACAACCCCUCCUGCUGUACCCUGCUAACAAGACACUGCCCCCUGCUGUACCCUGCUAACACAAGACACUACCCUCCUGCUGUACCCUGCUAACACAAGACACUGCCCCCUGCUGUACCCUGCUAACACAAGACACUGCCCCCUGCUGUACCCUGCUAACACAAGACACUGCCCCCUGCUGUACCCUGCUAACACAAGACACUGCCCCCUGCUGUACCCUGCUAACACAAGACACUGCACACUGGAGCAAUGGAAGUUCUAAAAGGUGCAGUUUUGAAAGAACCACAUACAUUAGCGAGCGUUUAUUUUCAUUUGAAAUUCUGAUCUCUGGUUCUGCAUUGGGUUCUCAGUGAAGUUUGUUUCUACAAAACAGUCAUCAUUCCUGAAUGAAAAGUUCAGCCACUAGAACGAUGCUCCAGGUAAUCCAGAGUCCUGGUGUGCGCCGGGCUGUGUCCCUGGCACACCUGCGCUCAAUCACAAUGGCUUUGUGUCAUUGCUAAUGAAUUACAUUUACUAUGUCAUUAGAAUAGUGAGUAUAGUUGAACCUUACUGCACCUGCAUAAUUCUAAUUACCCAAUAAUUGACAAUUACAAUUACACAACUCUCCAAGCUUAAUCAUUCACAGUUCCAUGUUCCAUGUUCUACACUGAGCGAACAUUCUUCUCGUAUUUUCAACCACUUUUAGUGACCCCAUUUGUUUGAAAAAAAGUUACUUAGUUGUGCUUCUGUAUUUGUAUCUGCUGUUUAUUUUACUUUGUAGUAUAAUUGUAAUUGCUGCAGCGUAAUUGUAAUUGAACAAAAUGUAAUUGUAAUUGCCCCCGCUCUGCUCCCUGGCUCCCC